Molecule: ribosomal RNA, 501 nt
Filed under: uncultured bacterium
Lineage: Bacteria
Description: partial 16S ribosomal RNA
Rfam family: Bacterial small subunit ribosomal RNA
Source: RNAcentral
AUUGAACGCUGGCGGCAGGCUUAACACAUGCAAGUCGAGCGGGGGAAGGUAGCUUGCUACCGGACCUAGCCGCGGACGGGUGAGUAAUGCUUAGGAAUCUGCCUAUUAGUGGGGGACAACAUCUCGAAAGGGAUGCUAAUACCGCAUACGUCCUACGGGAGAAAGCAGGGGAUCUUCGGACCUUGCGCUAAUAGAUGAGCCUAAGUCGGAUUAGCUAGUUGGUGGGGUAAAGGCCUACCAAGGCGACGAUCUGUAGCGGGUCUGAGAGGAUGAUCCGCCACACUGGGACUGAGACACGGCCCAGACUCCUACGGGAGGCAGCAGUGGGGAAUAUUGGACAAUGGGGGGAACCCUGAUCCAACCAUGCCGCGUGUGUGAAGAAGGCCUUAUGGUUGUAAAGCACUUUAAGCGAGGAGGAGGCUACUUUAGUUAAUACCUAGAGAUAGUGGACGUUACUCGCAGAAUAAGCACCGGCUAACUCUGUGCCAGCAGCCGCAGUAA